UUCUGGUGGGGAAGUAAACAAGGCAGAAGGAGACCAUGUUGGGUUUCAUGGGAUGUUAUGACAUGGCCAAAAUAUCUUGGAGGACUAGGAUUUCGGGACCUAGAAGUGUUCAAUCUUACUUUGUUGUCUCUUCGGGCUUGGCGUGUUCUUGAUGAACCAUCUUCGCUAAGUGCAAAAAUAAUGGUGGCAUUGUAUUUUUCCACGAUCAUACUAGAAGCUGAGAUGGGUUCACGGCCAUCUCGGAUUUGGAGAGCUAUAUUAGAUGGGAGGGACAUUAUCCAAUAGGGGAUAAUCAGAAGAAUAGGAGAUGGGGAGACAACAAACAUUUGGACUCGUAACUGGAUCUCUCCGGAAGGCAUGAUGAGACCACUCACUUCACUUAUGCAAAACCCUCCUAAAAGGGUGUCGAAGCUCAUCAGUGUUACUAUAGCAACAUGGCGGGAGGACGUUCUUCGGUAG
This 459-nucleotide ribosomal RNA is filed under the name Triticum aestivum (bread wheat). RNAcentral's name for it is "partial small subunit ribosomal RNA". Lineage: Eukaryota; Viridiplantae; Streptophyta; Magnoliopsida; Poales; Poaceae. The record is from RNAcentral.